GCAGAUCUGCGGAAGGGCAGAAUGGGACUCCAAGCCUGCCUCCUAGGGCUCUUUGCCCUCAUCCUCUCUGGCAAAUGCAGCUACAGCCCGGAGCCCGACCAGCGGAGGACGUGAGUUGACUUAGCACAGACUGCCCCCUUCCCCAUACCCUGUUCUGCCUCCCACUGUCCUGGUCCUAGCUUCUCUCACCUCCGUGCCAGCUCCUAGUACGCACUCCAUAGCUUCAUCUCUAUGUUCCUAGCCUCAGUCCCCUAUCAUUCACCUCAUGUGAUCUGUAUCUGCUCCUAGGAUCCUACCCAAGGUCUCAGCUCCUAAUCUGGAACCUUCCGUGACCAAUAUUUUCCAUCUCCACCCUAACCAAAGCCAUGUCCCUGACCCCUGACCCUACAGGCUGCCCCCAGGCUGGGUGUCCCUGGGCCGUGCGGACCCUGAGGAAGAGCUGAGUCUCACCUUUGCCCUGAGACAGCAGAAUGUGGAAAGACUCUCGGAGCUGGUGCAGGCUGUGUCGGAUCCCAGCUCUCCUCAAUACGGAAAAUACCUGACCCUAGAGAAUGUGGCU
Molecule: small RNA, 559 nt
Filed under: Pan troglodytes (chimpanzee)
Lineage: Eukaryota; Metazoa; Chordata; Mammalia; Primates; Hominidae
Description: retained intron
Source: RNAcentral